AAGAGUACGCACAGAGCCUAGCCAAGUUCCACAGGGAAUAUGCUGAGUGCUGGAGUUGCGGAGGUCAUGGUGUCUCUUCACAGCAACGGAAUCCUAAUGAAGACACUAACCUAAACCAAAAUCCCAGCAGCAAAGCAGCUAUGAAGGAAAAAAAGUAACGGCCCAGAACCCAACACCCUGCUCCAGCCCCUUUCAUACUCUGGCAAGUCUGGGCUUAUGAUUAUUUCCUUUGCAAGCCAAAUCAAUAACUAGGAGUGGGGGCAAACUCCCCACAGCAGGCUCCACUCCUGCCACUGCCCCAAGCCCCACUUUCUUAAGAUGGUAUUCUAAGCACCUCUUUCAACAGGGAGUCCUUGGAUCUGCACAGCUGAGACCUGAAACUGAAGAAUGUGAGUAUCACCCCAAGCAUGGGCAAGAUCCUCACAUCCAUUCCCACCAGACCCAACCCAAAGGAAAGGCCCUCUCCUCCUUGACUCUCGCUAGCACAUCUACCUACACAUCAGGCUUCACUUUUCUGGCUUGUUUCAGCCCAUUUACUCUAUAAACUGCUACUGAACAGCUGGCAGUGCAGUCCUGUAGCUGCGAGAACAGAAGUUGAGCAGUGAAUAAAUAGUCUCUGCUCUCAAAGGCUUUUAACCACACAGUGGGUAUAAGAGACAAGCAUGUGUAUACCUACAUUACAAUGAAAUAUAUCUGACAAGGAUAAGUCAAAUUUAUGAACCAAAAGGAGGUGUUUGGGCGGUCUAGUCUGGGAAGAUGAGUCCGUGGCUUCUGAGGGACCAUGCAGACUCUCAGAGACUUUCUUUCUUCUAUGCCUUUUAGCCUAAGUGCAGGAUCAAUAGGUCAGUGUUUACCUACAGCAAACAACAGUUCUGCAACUGCUACCCUGCUCAGCAAACAGACUGUCAACACUGAAGCCAUGGAAGUCCAGAAGCAAGUGCCCUCAAGGAGGUCCUGAUAGGACAGAGGAGAAAACAAUUAUUCUCUGAAAGAGACUAAGCAAAGUACAACUAGGGAACUGCACAUGAGAUGCUGCACACAUGACAAGUCCAACAGGGCCUGGGGUCCACCAGGGUGGUCACCAGCCUGGGGUCACUCACAGGGUGGUUUCCGGGAAACUGAAUGUAGGAGUCCUCCUGAUAAACUUGGGUAAAAAGUAAAGUGGGGUGGGGUGGGGUGCAGUAGGCUUCACAGCUGGGGGAGUAGUGCGGAGACAGAACAGAACAACACAGUCCACACCCUCAAAGGGACAAGUUCAGGGACACUCAGAGCUUCCAUUCUGGCUACAUGAAAAGAAGUUAGGCAUGACAGAGGAGGGUCUGGGAGAUGACAGAAAAAACUGAGGCCACAGUGUGUUACAGGACCAUGAUGGUUGUAGGAGAUUUAGACUUCCUCCUAAGAGGGAAGAAGAGCCUCCCACAUCUUCAACCAAAGAAUGGCAUUAUUGGUUUCACCGAAAUGAAAGAUUUCUACGGCUAUGCUGAGAACAGGGAGGGAAAUGCAAGGCUGAAGGCAGGGACCACAAGCACAAGAUGGUUUGAGCAAGGCAGGGGUAAAUGACUGGCCAGACUAAAGCAGCAACACCAUGAUGGAAGAAACCAUAGAACCUGACAUUAGAAAGCAGUAAACCUAGAAGAAAGCUAUGGAACUUCUAACCAAACUCAAGAGGAGAAAGUCAAGGUGUCCUCAAGAUGGCAAUGACAGCGAAGCAGGCCUAGAGCAAGAGCAGCACUACUGCCAGUGUGAUAAAGCUGGGAAGUGCCACCACCACCCUGAGUGCAGUCUGGCUUCAAGAGACCAUGUACUUCAGUACCACACACACACACACACACACACACACACACACACACACAGAGAGAGAGAGAGAGAGAGAGAGAGAGAGAGGACAACAUGCUCUUUCACCUUCCAUCUUUACAGUAACCAAAGCGUUAUCAAUGUUACCUACAACCAAGUAAUUUCAGGCUCCAACCAUUGGCUGCCAGCUAAUUAGAGCACAUAAUCAACUAUCCACUCACUCAAGGGAACCAGGAAAUUGUCUCAAGUAUGCUCCCAAGGCCUUGCAAGAUCCUCCAGUACUGUGACAGCUGUCAACAAAGUGUCGAGUAGCCCUAGGGAUAGAACAGGUUUAAAAGAAAACUAAUAAACAGUUAUUGUUGCACCCAAGCAGCAGGGACAUGGCCUAAUACAGAACACUUCAGGGACAGCUGGACUGUCAGGGAGACAGGAAAGGGAACAGGAAGAAGGAGGAUUCUGGGUCACAUAUCACCUUGUUUUUAAAAUGUUUCUUAAAAGAAAACAUCAUCAACAACAAUAACCUAUCAUUUGGCUGACAGCUGGAAAGUGAAUGGAUUUAUUUUGAAUAUUUCCACAUACAAUAGCAAAACGUACAUUUGAAACUCCAUUGGGCAUUUAUUCUAAGAGAUCGGGGCCAUCCCAAUGAUGCCCUAUAAAUCUGUCAAAUUCCAAGAAAUGCUGUAAGAUUGUUAAUUAGGCAUUUAUUUUACAACUGGCAUAUAAAAUUUGUCAGAUAGCAUUUCUAUAUAUUGGUCUUUAUUCUCCAUACUCCAAGAGAAUAGUUUAUAUAGACGAUGUCUUGCAUUUUAUAAAUCUCAACACAGAAUUACAAAUUCCUACUUUACAGCUUUUGCCUCUAAUAAUUUCUAUGAUUUAUCCACCAACAAUUCUGAGAAAACACAACCCAUUCUUAUAAUCACUGUAGACUUAGUAUCCAAAAUCUACUGUAACAAAAAUAGGGUGUUCUCUUAAAAUAGCUUCUUUUGCCUAUAGUCCUUGAAUGUGCAAGUAGCUGACUGAACUCCAGAUAUAGGAACUGUGGUUCCUGCCAUUACUCCUGCUCAAUCUUCACAUCCAGGCACCCCAUGCUGCUGCUGCUUCUCAGGAAGCCACUGGUCCCCAUGCCACCUAUAGGCACUUAUACACGCACGGUAAAUUACACAGAGCUGGUCUCUAGGUAGAGACCACUUAAAAUUUACUAAGAAGCAGCAGAGCCAACAGUUAAUACACUAACAGGAAAUCACCAGGCAGGGAACAACUGCAAAGUAUGACUCAGAAACAUUCCAGAAAGUACUAAGCUUUGCUCUGUAAAUCCCUUUCCUAUGGCACUGUAGCUAUCGUGUGUGGGAACCCUCUUGCACUGUCUUCAGACUGUCCUGAAUAUAUAAAUGUCCUAGCCAGGGAUUGGCUGCUACAUUAAAAGGCUUACAUC
This 3226-nucleotide long non-coding RNA is filed under the name Mus caroli (Ryukyu mouse). RNAcentral's name for it is "predicted gene 14540 (MGP_CAROLIEiJ_G0003835.1)". The record is from RNAcentral. Lineage: Eukaryota; Metazoa; Chordata; Mammalia; Rodentia; Muridae.